UGGGGAAUAUUGGGGCAAUGGGGCGAAAGCCUGACCCAGCAACGCCGCGUGAGGGAAGAAGGUUUUCGGAUUGUAAACCUCUGUUCUUAGUGACGAAGGAAGUGACGGUAGCUAAGAAGGAAGCCCCGGCUAACUACGUGCCAGCAGCCGCGGUAAUACGUAGGGGGCGAGCGUUGUCCGGAAUUACUGGGCGUAAAGGGUGAGUAGGCGGUUUAUUAAGUUGGAUGUGAAAUACCCGGGCUUAACUUGGGGGGUGCAUUCAAAACUGGUAGACUAGAGUAUCGGAGAGGGAAGUGGAAUUCCUGGUGUAGCGGUGAAAUGCGUAGAUAUCAGGAGGAACACCGGUGGCGAAGGCGGCUUUCUGGACGACAACUGACGCUGAGGCGCGAAAGCGU
Molecule: ribosomal RNA, 395 nt
Filed under: uncultured Peptococcaceae bacterium
Lineage: Bacteria; Bacillati; Bacillota; Clostridia; Eubacteriales; Peptococcaceae
Description: bacterial SSU rRNA
Rfam family: Bacterial small subunit ribosomal RNA
Source: RNAcentral